GAAAGGGCACCUCGUCCCACUCCCCUGCAAGGAACAGGGACGCCUACCGCCAGAUGAGGUGGCUCUGAGCCUGGUCCAGUCCGGACCUUGAAUGACUGUCGGGGCACCCCCCACCUCUCUGGGCAAGAUGUUCCAGAGCCAAACCAGCCUUCUGUAAAGAACAUCUUCCUCACACCCAGCCUAAAUCUCCCCUCUUUCUCUUUGAAUCUAUUUCCCCUUGUCCUGUCACAACUGACCCUGCUAAGGAGCCUGGCCUCUUGCUUCUUCAAGCCCCCCCUUAGAUACUGGAAGGCCAAUAUCACGUCUCCCCAGAGCCGUUAUUUCUCCUGACUGAAGAGCCCCACCUCUCUCAGCCUGUCCUCGUACGGGAGGUGUUCCACCUCUGGCAUUAUUUUUGUGGCCCUCCUCUGGAUGCACUCUAGCAGCUCAACAUCUCUCCUGUCACUGUCAUUGAUGGGUCACCGUAGACUUUAGAAAGUAGUGGCCUUAAUGCAGCAUGUGAAGAUGUGCCUGUGAGCAGACAGUCGCAGGCAGCAACGAGGAUUGGCGGAGCGCUGCGUCACACCGGUGUCUUCUCCUUGCACACAGGUUUCAAAAGGAGUUUGUAGCCAAACCACCACCUGGGAAAUACCGCAAGCGCUCCGCAGACGUCCCUGCGGAGGGGAAGCCAAAGAAAGAAGAGGUUUUGCAACCUCUUGUGGAGGGCAAGACAGUGAGAUUUGCUGGACGCCCCACCUUCAUCAAACGCUUGAGCACUGCAAGUAUAGAGGGAGGACACUUCGAAAGAAUAAGGAGCUUGCUGAUGAAGGAGAGCUCCGCAUCCAGGCUGCUGCCAGCGAUCCGAGGAGUGCCUGAAGCCCAAAAGCAGCUGGCGACCUGCCAGCUGCAGGGCCAAGCAGGAACUGAAGGCCAGGAAGACGUGGGCCAAGCACACGGAACAAAACAUGUGAGGUUCCAUGAAGAUGAUCGAGAAGCAGACCGUGGAGCACGGAAAAUGAAGAAAGCAAAGGCCUCGUACCCUCUGAUCUCCGGGAGGCCUUUUAACAAAGAUAAGAGAUCUUCAUUGAGGGCUGAGGCUAGCCUUUCCAAGGAGUCCAAAGGCAGACCAUCCAGGCUCCCACUUCUGGCUCGUGACUCAGUCAAACUGCUCAGGCAGAGGGCAAAGAAGGUCAGGCUAGCAGAGGAAAAACCUGAGGGGAUGGCAGCAUCCACAUCUCAUUGCGAGUCCAGCCUGCCAACGGAGUCCUCCACGCACAGAUCUGGAUUGCUGCCACCCAUACGCCAAGGAGCGGGGACUCCGAAGGAUCAGCCUCCAAAGACCAAAGCUUCCAACAGCAGGCAGGGGACACCCGGCCCAUGCUGAUGUGGGCAUGGGCUGUCCUGGACAGACGGAGCUCCACGUGAGGCUGCAAAACCCUGCUGCUGGACGUGUUCUCGGCAAGGGAGAAAGAGAGGGAGAGGAAUGGCUGCCCUCCCCUCCCCUCGGUGUGCUGACCCAAAGCCACCCCCAGGGUCUGCAUGUGGGCAAAGAAUUCCCUAAGCCUGCACUCUCCCUUCUGCUUUCCGACCGCGUGGAAAGAGAUUGAGAAAAAUAAAAGCAAUGGUCUUAUAGAGUUCUGUGGUGGA
Molecule: long non-coding RNA, 1626 nt
Filed under: Numida meleagris (helmeted guineafowl)
Lineage: Eukaryota; Metazoa; Chordata; Aves; Galliformes; Numididae
Description: lncRNA (ENSNMEG00000003608.1)
Source: RNAcentral